RNAcentral lists this ribosomal RNA (244 nucleotides) under uncultured bacterium. Its description in RNAcentral is "partial 16S ribosomal RNA". It matches the Rfam family "Bacterial small subunit ribosomal RNA", at positions 338 to 596 of the family's 1533-position model. The record is from RNAcentral.
CCUACGGGGGGCAGCAGUGGGGAAUAUUGGGCAAUGGGCGCAAGCCUGACCCAGCAACGCCGCGUGAAGGAAGAAGGCCCUCGGGUUGUAAACUUCUUUUAACAGGGACGAAGAAAGUGACGGUACCUGUUGAAUAAGCCACGGCUAACUACGUGCCAGCAGCCGCGGUAAUACGUAGGUGGCAAGCGUUAUCCGGAUUUACUGGGUGUAAAGGGAGCGUAGACGGCAGUGCAAGUCUGGAGGG